Molecule: ribosomal RNA, 489 nt
Filed under: Streptococcus sp. oral taxon 064
Lineage: Bacteria; Bacillati; Bacillota; Bacilli; Lactobacillales; Streptococcaceae
Description: bacterial SSU rRNA
Rfam family: Bacterial small subunit ribosomal RNA
Source: RNAcentral
GACGCACGCUGGCGGCGUGCCUAAUACAUGCAAGUAGAACGUCUGAAGGAGGAGCUUGCUCUUCUGGAUGAGUUGCGCACGGGCUGAGUAACGCGUAGGUAACCUGCCUGGUAGCGGGGGAUAACUAUUGGUAAACGAUAGCUAAUACCGCAUAACAGUAGAUGUCGCAUGUACAUUUGUCUUAAAAGGUGCAAUUGCAUCACUACCAGAUGGACCUGCGUGUGUAUUAGUCUAGUUGGUGAGGUAACGGCCCACACAAGGCUAACGAUACAUAGCACGACCUGAGAGGGUGAUCGGCCACACUGGGACUGAGACACGGCCCAGACUCCUACGGGAGGCAGCAGUAGGGAAUCUUCGGCAAUGGACGGAAGUCUGACCGAGCAACGCCGCGUGAGUGAAGAAGGUUUUCGGAUCGUAAAGCUCUGUUGUAAGAGAAGAACGGAUUCGUGAGAGUGGAAAGUUCACACUGUGACGGUAUCUUACCAGAAA